UACGUAGGGUGGAAGCGUUAUCCGGAAUGAUUGGGCGUAAGGCGUCUGUAGGUGGCUUUUUAAGUCCGCCGUCAAAUCCCAGGGCUCAACCCUGGACAGGCGGUGGAAACUGCCAAGCUGGAGUACGGUAGGGGCAGAGGGAAUUUCCGGUGGAGCGGUGAAAUGCGUAGAGAUCGGAAAGAACACCAACGGUGAAAACACUCUGCUGGGCCGACACUGACACUGAGAGACGAAAGCUAGGGGAGCGAAUGGG
Molecule: ribosomal RNA, 253 nt
Filed under: uncultured bacterium
Lineage: Bacteria
Description: partial 16S ribosomal RNA
Rfam family: Bacterial small subunit ribosomal RNA
Source: RNAcentral